Long non-coding RNA from Eutrema salsugineum, 325 nucleotides. RefSeq lists it as uncharacterized. Lineage: Eukaryota; Viridiplantae; Streptophyta; Magnoliopsida; Brassicales; Brassicaceae. The transcript has 3 exons. The record is from RefSeq and is a predicted model, not a curated record.
CAGAAAACAACUCUCUCUUCUUUUUCCUCUCUCGAAGGCGACGACUAAGGUGAUUUGGUCGAUGCCUGAAGAUCGUUUUUCCGGUCGUUUUCUGCACCGCGGGACCAUCUCUUCCGUCAUCUGUGUAAGGUUAACAUGGUGGGGUACUCGAGAUAACAACUGAUGGCAUCCUAUCAUCGAGUCUUCUCAACGAGGUUUUUGUGGAGUGCUUUAUGUGGGGCAAGAAGUUUUGGAGUAUUCUGUCACGAGCUCCUCUUUUUUUGUUUACUUGUGUCACGAGUAUGUUUGUAAACUAGUGGUUAGUGAUGUUUUAAAAUAAUUGUUG